AAGGGAGACCUAAUUCGGGUAUAAGACGAAAAAAGAGUAGUCGAAACCAAGAAUCAGUCCCAAAAGGUCGGAACGAGGUAUGUGGCUUUCAAACUAGGUUCUGGGUUCACACAAGACCUGAAUCAGGAACAAGGGCUAUUAGCUCAGGUGGUUAGAGCGCACCCCUGAUAAGGGUGAGGUCCCUGGUUCGAGUCCAGGAUGGCCCACCUGCACAGGUGGCAAAAACAAAGAAGCGAGGAAUCAGCACCUUAUCUUAUCUAUAUAUAAGAGAGAAUGCUGGCUCUGAGUAAAGAGUCCAGAGGAACCUUGAAAACUGCAUAGAGCUAGGUGAAAAAGCCAAAAAAGAAGACCGCAA
This 355-nucleotide transfer RNA is filed under the name uncultured Microcystis sp. RNAcentral's name for it is "partial 16S-23S ribosomal RNA intergenic spacer". The stretch from base 133 to 206 matches the Rfam family "tRNA". Lineage: Bacteria; Bacillati; Cyanobacteriota; Cyanophyceae; Chroococcales; Microcystaceae. The record is from RNAcentral.